RNAcentral lists this long non-coding RNA (264 nucleotides) under Elaeis guineensis (African oil palm). Its description in RNAcentral is "long non-coding RNA (EGUI_LNC051707)". Lineage: Eukaryota; Viridiplantae; Streptophyta; Magnoliopsida; Arecales; Arecaceae. The record is from RNAcentral.
GGUCUGAUUGAAUCUCAGCCGUUGGAUUGCACCCAAAUCUUUCUCUCACUGUGAGCCACGCCUGGGGACCGCGUAACUAUUCCUGUGAACCGCACCCUGGCUCUAUGGACCGAUCAACCGGUCCACCGUGCAUCGGAGGCUAUUUUCUUUAUUUUUUAGGAUAUUUUAGCUUUGUUUUUGCUUCGAUUUUCAUCUAAAAAAUUGAAAAAAAUAUGCAUUAAAUUUUUUAAAAUUUUUUCUUCAUUUUGGUGCUUAAAUUGCUCA